RNAcentral lists this ribosomal RNA (422 nucleotides) under uncultured bacterium. RNAcentral's name for it is "bacterial SSU rRNA". It matches the Rfam family "Bacterial small subunit ribosomal RNA", at positions 360 to 773 of the family's 1533-position model. The record is from RNAcentral.
AAUUGUUCGCAAUGGGCGGAAGCCUGACGACGCAACGCCGCGUGGAGGAUGAAGAAUUUCGGUUCGUAAACUCCUGUCGAGCGGGACGAAAGAUGCGCGGGUUAAUACCCCGCGCAAGUGACGGUACCGCUAAAGGACGCACCGGCUAACUCCGUGCCAGCAGCCGCGGUAAUACGGAGGGUGCGAGCGUUGUCCGGAAUCACUGGGCGUAAAGGGCGCGUAGGCGGCCUGGUAAGUAGGGGGUGAAAUCCUGCGGCUCAACCGCAGGGCUGCCUUCUAAACUGUCAGGCUCGAGCACGGUAGAGGCAGAUGGAAUUCCCGGUGUAGCGGUGGAAUGCGUAGAGAUCGGGAAGAACAUCAGUGGCGAAGGCGGUCUGCUGGGCCGUUGCUGACGCUGAGGCGCGACAGCGUGGGGAGCAAAC